GCGAGCUCAAGCGCCACGCUGAAGUUUUUGGCUCGGAGUUCUCUGCGUCUCAUGUGGGUUCCCUGGCGUUGCUCACUGAAGAUUCUCAUACAUACUCCUUGCGGCUCUUGCAGCUCUUGUUUCUUCUUUCAGAGGAUGCUUAAUGCUGGCUAAUAGCGCCUCAGGCAAAAAUAAAACCUUGCCAGAAAAUAGACUCCUGGAGGACGAAAUGAUAACGCACUCCAGUAUUCUUUACCCUGGGAAACCCCACGAAGAGAGGAUCCUGGCGGGUUACAGUGCAAAGGGUCGCAAAGAGUGCGGCAUGACAGAGCCCAGCACAGGAAACAGACGCUUACUUAAAGCUUCACAUGCGUUUUCUUUUUCUCUCCAAAAGUCAUAGCCUUCCUGACUUCUGACCCUGCGGACUGACUCGCUCGCUCUGUCUGUCUGUCUGUUAUGUAAUCGGAACAGUAUAGGCCAGAAGCAAACACCAAGAUGGGAGUAUACAUAUGUGUGCUUUGUCAGGGAAAUGCCGGUGUGGAAACAUCGCAGGGAACCAGAGGAGGCUGGGAGUCUCGGACCUUGACGAAGAGAUGGAAAUACCAGACCACCUGACCUUCCUCUUGAGAGACA
This is a long non-coding RNA of Capra hircus (goat), 612 nucleotides long. RefSeq lists it as uncharacterized. NCBI's taxonomy places the organism in Eukaryota, Metazoa, Chordata, Mammalia, Artiodactyla, Bovidae. The record is from RefSeq and is a predicted model, not a curated record. The transcript has 3 exons.